RNAcentral lists this ribosomal RNA (253 nucleotides) under uncultured bacterium. Its description in RNAcentral is "partial 16S ribosomal RNA". It matches the Rfam family "Bacterial small subunit ribosomal RNA", at positions 524 to 776 of the family's 1533-position model. The record is from RNAcentral.
UACAGAGGGUGCGAGCGUUGUCCGGAAUUAUUGGGCGUAAAGGGCGCGUAGGCGGCGCGGUAUGUCACCUGUGAAAUCUCCUGGCUCAACUGGGAGCUUGCAGGCGAAACUGCCGUGCUGGAGUGUGGGAGAGGUGCGUGGAAUUCCUGGUGUAGCGGUGAAAUGCGUAGAUAUCAGGAGGAACACCUGUGGCGAAAGCGGCGCACUGGACCACAACUGACGCUGAGGCGCGAAAGCUAGGGGAGCAAACAGG